This 477-nucleotide long non-coding RNA is filed under the name Homo sapiens (human). RNAcentral describes it as "HSALNT0165911". The record is from RNAcentral. Lineage: Eukaryota; Metazoa; Chordata; Mammalia; Primates; Hominidae.
UUUGUCUUUUUUAAUACUAAUCAGCCACAAUCUGGGUAAUACCUCAUUCACCUUUUUCUUUAAUUUUAAAUUUUUAACUUUCUUGGGUACAUAGUGUAUAUGCUUAUGGGGUGCAUAAGAUAUUUUGAUACAGGAAUACAAUGCAUAAUAAUCACAUCAGGGUAAAUGAGGUACCCAUCACCUCAAGCAUUUAUCCUUUGUGUUACAAAAAUCCAAUUAUCCUCUUAGUUAUUUUUAAAUGCACUGUUAAUUUAUUUUAUUUUACUUUAUUUUUAGACAGAGUCUUGCUCUGCCGCCAGGCUGGAGUUCACUGGCACGAUCUUGGCUCACUGCAACCUCUGCCUCCCAGGUUCAAGCUAUUGUCCUGCCUCAGCCUCCGGAGUAGCUGGGAUUACAGGCAUGUGCCACCACUCCCAGCUAAUUUUUGUAUUUUUAGUAGAGACGGGGUUUCACCAUGUUGGCCAGGAUGGUCUCGAU